RNAcentral lists this ribosomal RNA (253 nucleotides) under uncultured bacterium. Its description in RNAcentral is "partial 16S ribosomal RNA". It matches the Rfam family "Bacterial small subunit ribosomal RNA", at positions 524 to 776 of the family's 1533-position model. The record is from RNAcentral.
GACGUAGGGCGCGAGCGUUGUCCGGAUUUAUUGGGCGUAAAGAGCUCGUAGGCGGCUUGUCGCGUCGGCUGUGAAAACCUGGGGCUCAACCCCGGGCCUGCAGCCGAUACGGGCAAGCUAGAAUUCGGUAGGGGAGACUGGAAUUCUCGGUGUAGCAGUGAAAUGCGUAGAUAUCGAGAGGAACACCAGUGGCGAAGGCGAGUCCCUGGACAACACCUGACACUGAGGCACGAAAGCUAGGGGAGCAAACAGG